GACGAACGCUGGCGGCGUGCUUAACACAUGCAAGUCGAACGGAAAGACCCUGCUUUUGUGCGGUUCUCGAGUGGCGAACGCGUGAGUAACACGUGAGUAACCUGCCCUUGACUUUGGGGUAACUUCACGAAACUGGGGCUACUACCGGAUAGGAGCUCCUGCAGCAUUGUGGGGGUUGGAUAGUUUCGGCGGUUGGGGAUGGACUCGCGGCUUAUCGGCUUGUUGGUUGGGUAGUGGCUGACCAAGGCUUUGACGGGUAGGCGGCCUGAGAGGGUGACCGGCGACAUGGGGACUGAGGGACGGACCAGACGCGUAUGGUAGGCAGCAGGGGGGAAUAUUGCACAACGGGAGGAAGUGUGAGGAAGCAACGUUGGGUGCGGGAAGACGGUCUGUGGGGUGAGAACAGCUGUCGCCUGAUACGAAGCGGGAGUGACGGUAACGGAUAAAGAAGCACCGGCUAACUACGUG
RNAcentral lists this ribosomal RNA (468 nucleotides) under uncultured bacterium. Its description in RNAcentral is "partial 16S ribosomal RNA". It matches the Rfam family "Bacterial small subunit ribosomal RNA", at positions 28 to 507 of the family's 1533-position model. The record is from RNAcentral.